This 161-nucleotide non-coding RNA is filed under the name Alphaproteobacteria bacterium. RNAcentral describes it as "6S RNA". It matches the Rfam family "6S / SsrS RNA". From Rfam's summary of the family: E. coli 6S RNA was the first non coding RNA to be sequenced, but its function was unknown until recently. The record is from RNAcentral. Lineage: Bacteria; Pseudomonadati; Pseudomonadota; Alphaproteobacteria.
CGGGUACUGGCCCGUGCGACAGAAGUGCGAUUCCCAGGGGCCGUAUUGGACUUCACCGGGAGCUGUCCCUGGCCUGGACCGUGGUCUCGGCCAAACGGCGCCCACCUGCACCUGCAGGCCCGCGAGGAUUCCUAUUCUUCAUCGGCGGGAUCGGUCCUGCC